UUUUAUACACAUACGGGAAAGAACCACAGGGAUUGCCCCAGUAACGGCGAGUGAAGCGGCAACAGCUCAAAUUUGAAAUCUGGCCCUCGGGUCCGAGUUGUAAUUUGUAGAGGAUGCUUUUGGCGCGGUGCCUUCUGAGUUCCCUGGAACGGGACGCCAGAGAGGGUGAGAGCCCCGUAUAGUCGGACACCAAGCCUUUGUAAAGCUCCUUCGACGAGUCGAGUAGUUUGGGAAUGCUGCUCAAAAUGGGAGGUAAAUUUCUUCUAAAGCUAAAUACCGGCCAGAGACCGAUAGCGCACAAGUAGAGUGAUCGAAAGAUGAAAAGCACUUUGAAAAGAGGGUUAAACAGCACGUGAAAUUGUUGAAAGGGAAGCGCUCAUGACCAGACUUGCGCCCGGCGGAUCAUCCAGCGUUCUCGCUGGUGCACUCCGCCGGGCUCAGGCCAGCAUCGGUUCCGGUGGGGGGAUAAAAGUCGUGGGAAUGUGACUCCUCCGGGAGUGUUAUAGCCCGCUUCAUAAUACCCUCGCCGAGACCGAGGUACGCGCUCCGCAAGGAUGCUGGCGUAAUGGUUAUCAGCGACCCGUCUUGAAACACGGACCAAGGAGUGAAUGUCUUCAGCGAGUGUUUGGGUGUCAAACCCGCACGCGAAAUGAAAGUGAACGUAGGUGAGAGCUUCGGCGCAUCAUCGACCGAUCCUGAUGUAUUCGGAUGGAUUUGAGUAUGAGCUGAAGGCAUUCGACCCGAAAGAUGGUGAACUAUGCCUGUAUAGGGUGAAGCCAGAGGAAACUCUGGUGGAGGCUCGCAGCGGUUCUGACGUGCAAAUCGAUCGUCAAAUAUGGGCAUGGGGGCGAAGACAAUCGACCAUCUACGGCGGCC
RNAcentral lists this ribosomal RNA (876 nucleotides) under Vermiculariopsiella hongkongensis. RNAcentral's name for it is "partial 28S large subunit ribosomal RNA". It matches the Rfam family "Eukaryotic large subunit ribosomal RNA", at positions 42 to 952 of the family's 3401-position model. Lineage: Eukaryota; Fungi; Ascomycota; Sordariomycetes; Vermiculariopsiellales; Vermiculariopsiellaceae. The record is from RNAcentral.